UUUCCGUAGGUGAACCUGCGGAAGGAUCAUUAAUGAGUUGUCAUGGGGUUCGAUGCUGGCAGCCAGUUUUUGGAUGCGUGCUUGCCCUAACAAUCAUCUUCUUCCAAACACCUGUGCACAUUUUUGAGGGAGUCUUGAGUUGGUUGCCGCUCUUGGGUGAUUUUCUCACAUUCCCUUAAAUCAUUAUACGCUACUAACAAUGUUGAACGUGCUCUGUGCCGCAAGGCCAUUAAUAUAAUACAACUUUUAACAACGGAUCUCUUGGCUCUC
RNAcentral lists this unclassified non-coding RNA (270 nucleotides) under plant metagenome. RNAcentral's name for it is "partial contains small subunit ribosomal RNA, internal transcribed spacer 1, and 5.8S ribosomal RNA". The record is from RNAcentral.